RNAcentral lists this unclassified non-coding RNA (228 nucleotides) under plant metagenome. Its description in RNAcentral is "partial contains small subunit ribosomal RNA, internal transcribed spacer 1, and 5.8S ribosomal RNA". The record is from RNAcentral.
UCUCCGUUGGUGGACCAGCGGAGGGAUCAUUACCGAGUUAUCAACACCCAAACCCCUGUGAACAUACCUGAACGUUGCCUCGGCGGGACCGCCCCGGCGCCCAUCUCGCGGCCCGGAACCAGGCGCCCGCCGGAGGACCCAAACUCUUGCUUUGAACAGUGGCAUACUCUCUGAGUCUCACAAACAAAAAAUGAAUCAAAACUUUCAACAACGGAUCUCUUGGCUCUG